Molecule: non-coding RNA, 200 nt
Organism: Oryza glaberrima (African rice)
Lineage: Eukaryota; Viridiplantae; Streptophyta; Magnoliopsida; Poales; Poaceae
Source: Rfam
AAAAAGACAAACCCUGGUUUCCGUGUCCAAAGUUUGACCGUCCGUCUUAUUAAAAAAAUUAUGAAAAAAUAAAAAGAUAAGUCACGCAUAAAGUAUUAAUCAUGUUUUAUCAUCUAACAACAAUGAAAAUACUAAUUAUAAAAAAAUUAUAUAAGACGGACAGUCAAACGUUGGCACGGAAACCCAGGGUUUGCCUUUUU